GUGAUGGAGACCCGCCAGGUGUCCAGGAGCCCUCGGGUUCGGCUGCUGCUGCUGCUGCUGCUGCUGCUGGUGGUGCCCUGGGGCGUCCGCACUGCCUCGGGAGUCGCCCUGCCCCCGGUCGGGGUCCUCACCUCCGCCCCCCAGGACGGGCCUGGGCGGAUCCCGCCACCCCCAGGCCGCGGAGGAGCCUGGCGCUGGCGGACGACGCGGCCUUCCGGGAGCGCGCGCGGUUGCUGGCCGCCCUCGAGCGCCGCCACU
RNAcentral lists this long non-coding RNA (258 nucleotides) under Homo sapiens (human). RNAcentral describes it as "non-protein coding lnc-SLC17A7-3:1". The record is from RNAcentral. Lineage: Eukaryota; Metazoa; Chordata; Mammalia; Primates; Hominidae.